This is a long non-coding RNA of Chinchilla lanigera (long-tailed chinchilla), 812 nucleotides long. RefSeq lists it as uncharacterized. NCBI's taxonomy places the organism in Eukaryota, Metazoa, Chordata, Mammalia, Rodentia, Chinchillidae. The record is from RefSeq and is a predicted model, not a curated record. The transcript is spliced from 3 exons.
CCAGACAGGAGAGACCCUGGGAGUGGAUCUCAAGGUCACCGUCACCUGGUUAGUCAUAAAAGCCACUGCCAGCAGCCGUCUCUGCUCAAGGGAAACCGAACCCUUUUGGACUUGGACUCAUUCAGAAGAGACCCUGUCUGCCGACCUCCUAGCAAACCCAGGCACCAUGGCUUUUUGUUUCCGGAUGGUCAGCGGGUCACGGCAAGCGGGAGAUGCAGUGCUAAUGACUCCAGCUCCACGUGGCCACCAUUCAGGAAAAAGCGGCAAUGUUCUCCCUGCCACAUUAAUCAGAGAAGCACAUCAAGAGCCGUUGCGCGGAGACAGCUUCCCUCCUGGUACCUGCCCUGCAUGCUAAUCACCAGCCUCCUGGCGGUUCUGACUCCCUCCCAAGCAGAUGCAGUUCUACUGCAAGCCAACAAGACCUGAAGAGCCACCCUGCCUUCCUAAGACCUUUGGAAACAAUUGCCCACUCUGGCUGCCAGGGCCUGGUCAGCUCAGCCUGAGGAUGGGGGACCCCACUGGGUAUCACCUCCUCCUCUGCGCCCCAGUAUGUGUGUGUGUGUGUGUGUGUGUGUGUGCGCGCGCGUGCGUGCGCGCGUGCUGUCUUUUUGUGUGAGCUGGGAAAAGGGAGGAAGCAGGCUGCUUUCCAGAGGGGCUUGCUGCCCUCCUGUGGUACCUGCACCUCUCCUUCCCUCCCUCCUGAUGCUGGAGGCCUGUGGUCCAGCAGGGGUAGAGGAGGAGGAGGAGGAGGAGGAAGAGGAAGAGGAAGAGGAGGAGGAGGAGGAGGAGGAGGAGGAGGAAAUGGGAGCAGA